GUAACACUGGUGCUUGUGGAGGGGGUAGCACAGAGUGGGGAAUGGUUAAUGGGAGUUACUUGGCGUUAAGCGGUCGUAGGCGGGUCAUUAAGUCGGUGGUGAAAUCCCUGGGCUUAACCUGGGAACUGCAGUGGAGACUGGUGAACUAGAGUGCGGUAGAGGGUGGCGGAACUCCGGGUGUAGCGGUGAAAUGCGUAGAUAUCCGGAAGAACACCGAUGGCGAAGGCAACCACCUGGGCCUGCACUGACGCUGAGGUACGAAAGCGUGGGGAGCAAACAGGAUUAGAUACCCCAGUAGUC
Molecule: ribosomal RNA, 300 nt
Filed under: uncultured Sporohalobacter sp.
Lineage: Bacteria; Bacillati; Bacillota; Clostridia; Halanaerobiales; Halobacteroidaceae
Description: bacterial SSU rRNA
Rfam family: Bacterial small subunit ribosomal RNA (bases 52-300)
Source: RNAcentral